GCCCCGACUGUAUGAUCCCCUGGAUUCCCAAUGGAGGGGAGACAGGGUCCUUGAGGCAGGAGCCUACCGUGUUCUCCCUUCUGCCAGCUUGAUGAUUAAAGCCAUCUUUCUGCUUCCUCCAGACUCUGUCUCUGCAAAUUUUAUUUGGCUCCAGUGGGCAAGAAAACCAAGAAUUUCGGUGGCAACAAUGCCAUAGAGUUUGGCUGGUCCCCACCUCUCCCCUAGGAUAACUCCUGCCAACAGGGAUCAUGAGGCAUCCUGUGUGAGCUCACUCAGCCCUUCCUCUGCCCUUUGUUGACCUGCCCCUCAUUGUGUGGCAAUGGACAGGGGCUCUCGGCUGUCUCUGCCUGAGUGGACGGGCCACAGUCCACCUGAGAAGGGCGGAGGAGCCAACUGUAAGGCAAAUGCUUGGACCGUGUGUCCAUAGAUGAUGAAACAUCCUCAAAUUAGGCCCAGCGCCAGCUGAACGUCUCUAGUAGGAAUAAAAGCACUCUCUUCCCAGCUGAAGUUUUCAAACUCUUUCCCAGAUCGCCUGCCCCGAUUCAGGUGUGCCACGAGACACUGGUUCUGCUUGGAAUUCCGAAAACUCCUUUCCCCAUCAUGAAGCUACUCUACCUUCUCUUCCUCUUACUUGUGUGUCUUACGCAGACAACAGCGGGUAA
Odocoileus virginianus texanus is the source of this 662-nucleotide non-coding RNA. The record is from RefSeq and is a predicted model, not a curated record. NCBI's taxonomy places the organism in Eukaryota, Metazoa, Chordata, Mammalia, Artiodactyla, Cervidae.